This 492-nucleotide ribosomal RNA is filed under the name uncultured bacterium. RNAcentral's name for it is "partial 16S ribosomal RNA". It matches the Rfam family "Bacterial small subunit ribosomal RNA", at positions 29 to 507 of the family's 1533-position model. The record is from RNAcentral.
AGUGAACGCUGGCGGUAGGCCUAACACAUGCAAGUCGAACGGCAGCACAGUAAGAGCUUGCUCUUACGGGUGGCGAGUGGCGGACGGGUGAGGAAUACAUCGGAAUCUACUUUUUCGUGGGGGAUAACGUAGGGAAACUUACGCUAAUACCGCAUACGACCUACGGGUGAAAGCAGGGGAUCUUCGGACCUUGCGCGAUUGAAUGAGCCGAUGUCGGAUUAGCUAGUUGGCGGGGUAAAGGCCCACCAAGGCGACGAUCCGUAGCUGGUCUGAGAGGAUGGUCGGCCACACUGGAACUGGGACACGGUCCAGACGCCUGCGGGAGGCAGCAGUGGGGAAUAUUGGACAAUGGGCGCAAGCCUGAUCCAGCCAUACCGCGUGGGUGAAGAAGGCCUUCGGGUUGUAAAGCCCUUUUGUUGGGAAAGAAAAGCAGCAGGUUAAUACCCCGCUGUUUUGACGGUACCCAAAGAAUAAGCACCGGCUAACUUCGUG